RNAcentral lists this ribosomal RNA (440 nucleotides) under uncultured bacterium. Its description in RNAcentral is "partial 16S ribosomal RNA". It matches the Rfam family "Bacterial small subunit ribosomal RNA", at positions 338 to 795 of the family's 1533-position model. The record is from RNAcentral.
CCUACGGGAGGCAGCAGUGGGGAAUAUUGCACAAUGGGGGAAACCCUGAUGCAGCGACGCCGCGUGAGUGAAGAAGUAAUUCGUUAUGUAAAGCUCUAUCAGCAGGGAAGAAAAUGACGGUACCUGAGUAAGAAGCCCCGGCUAACUACGUGCCAGCAGCCGCGGUAAUACGUAGGGGGCAAGCGUUAUCCGGAUUUACUGGGUGUAAAGGGAGCGUAGACGGCAGUGCAAGUCUGGAGGUAAAGGCGGGGGGUCAACCCCCGGACUGCUCUGGAAACUGUACGGCUGGAGUGCAGGAGAGGUAAGUGGAAUUCCUAGUGUAGCGGUGAAAUGCGUAGAUAUUAGGAGGAACACCAGUGGCGAAGGCGGCUUACUGGACUGUAACUGACGUUGAGGCUCGAAAGCGUGGGGAGCAAACAGGAUUAGAUACCCUAGUAGUC